GAUGAAGAACGUAGCGAAAUGCGAUAAGUAAUGUGAAUUGCAGAAUUCAGUGAAUCAUCGAAUCUUUGAACGCACAUUGCGCCCGCCAGUAUUCUGGCGGGCAUGCCUGUUCGAGCGUCAUUACAACCCUCAGGCCCCCGGGCCUGGCGUUGGGGAUCGGCAGAAGCCCCCUGUGGGCACACGCCGUCCCUCAAAUACAGUGGCGGUCCCGCCGCAGCUUCCAUUGCGUAGUAGCUAACACCUCGCAACUGGAGAGCGGCGCGGCCAUGCCGUAAAACACCCAACUUCUGAAUGUUGACCUCGAAUCAGGUAGGAAUACCCGCUGAACUUAAGCAUAUCAAAAGCGGAGGA
Molecule: unclassified non-coding RNA, 351 nt
Filed under: soil metagenome
Description: partial contains 5.8S ribosomal RNA, internal transcribed spacer 2, and large subunit ribosomal RNA
Rfam family: 5.8S ribosomal RNA (bases 1-120)
Source: RNAcentral